Ceratotherium simum simum (southern white rhinoceros) is the source of this 645-nucleotide long non-coding RNA. RefSeq lists it as uncharacterized. NCBI's taxonomy places the organism in Eukaryota, Metazoa, Chordata, Mammalia, Perissodactyla, Rhinocerotidae. The record is from RefSeq and is a predicted model, not a curated record.
ACCUUCCACCUACGGAGUUGGGCCGUCCCUCCCAAAUCCCAAAUUUAUUUUUAUCUCCUUGUCAUUUAUUUUUAACCUUUCUGACCGUUCCCCAAGGUUUCGGACCCUCGUUGGUUUUUCUUAUAGGAAUGAUUUGCAAAAGGGUCCAAAGAAAUCAAUGUUGAAAGGUAGCCAAGCUGGAAAGGGACGGUCUAUUGGCCCCACAGUUAAGAAGACAAGGAGAGGCCUAAAGGAGCAACGCACCGGUUUAAAACGACGUCUUUAUACCUGCCAGAGAAAACAGGGAGAUGUUGAAAGGGGAUGUUGAUGAUGGGCCUGUUGACGGCUGGCCAUCGGUUCCGAAGUAACACGGGUUCUUGGAUAAACCUAGAGUAGUCUGUCUACACUAUGGAAAGAUGGGAAAUUUCUUUACCUCCUGAGGGUGUCUGAAGGGUUAAAAAUGCUGAUAUUGUGCUGUUUUUCUCCCUCCCUUUUGCACAUUAUUCUGAAAACAAAAUUUGGAUCAGUAAGGGUGUGCACUUCACCUGUUAGGAGUUAAUAAAAUUAUAGCUGAUAAAUGGAUUCUCCUAUCAAAGAAAGGCUAAAGAGAGUGAUUACAAAUGACAAAAACAUGGUAGAAGCAGUCUCCGAUAUAUGCCGAUAACU